This is a non-coding RNA of Mycena latifolia, 95 nucleotides long. The record is from the annotation of a GenBank genome assembly. NCBI's taxonomy places the organism in Eukaryota, Fungi, Basidiomycota, Agaricomycetes, Agaricales, Mycenaceae.
GACCCAGUGGCGGACGGUCCGUGUCUGUCCUCAUUGAAUGUCCACAGCGAGUAGUUAAACAGCAGAAGGUGCCCGUUCGACUCGGGCCUGGGUCC